RNAcentral lists this ribosomal RNA (353 nucleotides) under Salmonella enterica subsp. enterica serovar Kentucky. Its description in RNAcentral is "partial 23S ribosomal RNA". It matches the Rfam family "Bacterial large subunit ribosomal RNA", at positions 1 to 381 of the family's 2925-position model. Lineage: Bacteria; Pseudomonadati; Pseudomonadota; Gammaproteobacteria; Enterobacterales; Enterobacteriaceae. The record is from RNAcentral.
GGGUUGUGAGGUUAAGCGACUAAGCGUACACGGUGGAUGCCCUGGCAGUCAGAGGCGAUGAAGGACGUGCUAAUCUGCGAUAAGCGCCGGUAAGGUGAUAUGAACCGUUAUAACCGGCGAUUUCCGAAUGGGGAAACCCAGUGUGACUCGUCACACUAUCAUUAACUGAAUCCAUAGGUUAAUGAGGCGAACCGGGGGAACUGAAACAUCUAAGUACCCCGAGGAAAAGAAAUCAACCGAGAUUCCCCCAGUAGCGGCGAGCGAACGGGGAGGAGCCCAGAGCCUGAAUCAGCAUGUGUGUUAGUGGAAGCGUCUGGAAAGGCGCGCGAUACAGGGUGACAGCCCCGUACACA